RNAcentral lists this ribosomal RNA (541 nucleotides) under Fusarium oxysporum f. sp. ciceris. Its description in RNAcentral is "eukaryotic LSU rRNA". The stretch from base 168 to 321 matches the Rfam family "5.8S ribosomal RNA". The record is from RNAcentral. Lineage: Eukaryota; Fungi; Ascomycota; Sordariomycetes; Hypocreales; Nectriaceae.
ACCUGCGGAGGGAUCAUUACCGAGUUUACAACUCCCAAACCCCUGUGAACAUACCACUUGUUGCCUCGGCGGAUCAGCCCGCUCCCGGUAAAACGGGACGGCCCGCCAGAGGACCCCUAAACUCUGUUUCUAUAUGUAACUUCUGAGUAAAACCAUAAAUAAAUCAAAACUUUCAACAACGGAUCUCUUGGUUCUGGCAUCGAUGAAGAACGCAGCAAAAUGCGAUAAGUAAUGUGAAUUGCAGAAUUCAGUGAAUCAUCGAAUCUUUGAACGCACAUUGCGCCCGCCAGUAUUCUGGCGGGCAUGCCUGUUCGAGCGUCAUUUCAACCCUCAAGCACAGCUUGGUGUUGGGACUCGCGUUAAUUCGCGUUCCUCAAAUUGAUUGGCGGUCACGUCGAGCUUCCAUAGCGUAGUAGUAAAACCCUCGUUACUGGUAAUCGUCGCGGCCACGCCGUUAAACCCCAACUUCUGAAUGUUGACCUCGGAUCAGGUAGGAAUACCCGCUGAACUUAAGCAUAUCAAAGGCGGGGAGGAACGUUCU